Molecule: long non-coding RNA, 1876 nt
Organism: Parus major (Great Tit)
Lineage: Eukaryota; Metazoa; Chordata; Aves; Passeriformes; Paridae
Source: Ensembl
AUGGUGGGAGCUGUGUGCUCGUUCCCCUGUCCCAGCGUCCCGGGCUGCCGUGAUGGCCAUCCCUGCCGUGAGGAGGAGCGGCAGAGAUCCCCCGCACCCCCGGGAGCCCGCGGGCAGACACCGACCCUGCUCCGGGCUGGCGGCUAUCGCUGGGGGAGGCUAUCUCGUCCAGGACUACGUUUCCCAGCGGCUCCUCCCGGGGCUGCACAUGCUCGAUGCGGCUCCCGGCUCCUCCCGGCAGCUCCCGGCGCGGCGCCCGGUGCGGCGCAGGGGCGGUCGGUGCGGUUCCCGGUUCUCGUUCCCGGUGCGGCUCCCGGUGCGGCUCCCGGUACCAUCGGCGGCGCGGCGCUGCCCGGGGCGGUUCCCGAUUCCCGGGGCGGUUCCCGGUUCCAGGGGCGGUUCCCGGUGCCACCCCCGGCGGGGCAUCCUCCCGGUGCGCCCUCGGGAGAGCACGGCCGAGCCCCGCCGCCGCCCCGGGCCCGAGCGCCCCCGGGCCCCGCGGGCCGGCAGCAUGCCCCGCGGGCGAGCCUGGACGCAGGCGGAGGUCAGCAGCCUCCUGUCGCUGGUGGGGGGCUCGGGGGAGGCCGCACUGCUCAUGGCCUCCACGUCGCGACCCAACGAGGCGCUCUGGCGGGAGAUCUCCCGGGGUCUGGCGGCGGCCGGCUACGGGCGCAGCGUGGCCCAGUGCCGCUCCAAGUGGAAGGCGCUCAAGCAGGCUUUCCACUCGGAGCGGGAGACGCGCCGGAGGGCAGGACACCACUCGCCCCGGCUGCCGCCGCACUAUCGAGCCAUGAAGAGCAUCUGGAAGGCGGCCGGACGGCCCGUCUUCGGCGAACGGAGGAUGCCAGACGUGGUGAAGCUGCCCUCCAGAAAGCGCAGGUCAGCCCUUGCCACACGCUCUCCAUCCUCAUCAGAGACACCAGAGCAGGACGUUGGCGGGGACACCCCCUGCACACUGCUGUCUCCGAUGCUGCAGCGUGCGAAGGACGAGCCAGACACUCUUUCAAGUGGAUGUGGGAUUCUCCUUCUCUUCCAGUCCUAGUCUGUUGUGUAGCGUUGCUGCGCGCUGCUCCGCCGCUGCUGCCUUCCAGCCCAGAGGUGGCUGCAUUGCAGUGGUGGCAGCUGGUGGGGACCACAUUACAGGAGUGCAACCCACACCCCCUGCCAUGCCACACGCCGAUUGCUGCUUCCCUCCCCUCUCCCUCCUGGGCUGUCACACUGACCCGAAACAGGAAGGAUUUGAGGGGAAGGCCGGUUUUCCUGGUGAGACGUCCCUGGGGAUGGGAAGAGGAAACCAAAUGCUGCCCCUGGCUGUUGCAGCCACAGGCUCCCAUGAGACAGCAGCCACGAGUGAGCAGCCAGCAACAGCUGAAGAUGCAUCAGACACAAGCCUGCAUGGGUCUGGCGUGGCAGGCUUGCUCCAGAAUGUCCAGCAACUGCUGGUGCAGAUCCUGCAGACAUCACGGCGGCAGCAGGCACUGCUGGAGAGCCUGGCCAGUGACACAGUCUCCCACCUCCACCUCCUUUCCCACAGUCUCGUGCAGGUGGGCGAGACCUUGCACCAACUCCUGCUCCGGCCACAGAUCCAUCCUGGCCCCAUUGGCCACUACAUCCCCCAUAUGCCCCUUUUUGAGGGUGGCUCUGGAGUGCCCUGCUCCCCUGGUGCUCCCCACACUUCCCUGGAUCACAAAGAGGAGCCUCAGCUGUCCCCCAAUGCCAGGUGCAUCACCCCGUGAGUGCCACCAUCACUGGCCACAGGAGCAACAGCUUUGCUACACAGCCACAGCACAGAUCUUUAUAUCAGAGGUUCCAGAUAUUUUCAAAGUUUAUACUAGAGAGACAUUUUAAUAAAAUUAAAAAUAGCUUUUCUACCAGU